Long non-coding RNA from Pecten maximus, 416 nucleotides. RefSeq lists it as uncharacterized. Lineage: Eukaryota; Metazoa; Mollusca; Bivalvia; Pectinida; Pectinidae. The transcript has 3 exons. The record is from RefSeq and is a predicted model, not a curated record.
CAGUGUCAUUAUUUAAUGACAUUUGGGUAUUAUUUAGAUUUAUCCAUUUUUGUACUACUGUGCAUGUACAGGCUCCGUAUUUAUCAUAUGUAUAUGUGUACGCAGUUGUAUCGUAUGCUAUUUAUAUAUAUAUGUAAACCUGUUUAACAGGUCAGAGGUCAGAGUUAUUUUUAUAGUAGAGUGACCAUGGGUCAAUGCGCACCCGCGCUUUUUAGGGUAGCGUCACUCCCGUACUAGGCACCGUUGUGAGUGGACGUGUAUAUGUUGCGUCUAUAUAUUUAGCGCAUCCGUGUUGUACCAAUCUACAUCACUCAUUUAUAUGCGCUGUAAUAUUGUACGGGUUGUCUCCCCGGGAGUCGAGCCCUCUUCGUCAAAUGAAGAGGGUGUUUUAUGGACUAAUAAAUUAUGAAUUGGAA